RNAcentral lists this long non-coding RNA (966 nucleotides) under Triticum aestivum (bread wheat). RNAcentral describes it as "long non-coding RNA (TAES_LNC020288)". The record is from RNAcentral. Lineage: Eukaryota; Viridiplantae; Streptophyta; Magnoliopsida; Poales; Poaceae.
UCCCCCUAGUCGGCAGCAAGCCGGUGGUGGUCUCCUCGGCUCCUUCCCAUCCGGGCCGUGCAACGAGGUGAUUCUUUUUCCUGGUAAAUAGAUGCUGAUUUUUAUUUGCUAGUAAAUUUGUGCUACAUCCCAAGUUUACUAUCAAGUUGAUCUAUGUUGCAUCUCUCGUUCUAUUUUUUGUUCAUGUCAAAUCUUCUUAGUGAAUGAUGCAUAAUAACUUCGAUUUGAUGAUGUAUUGCUACUGUGCUAGGUGUUUUGGUACUCUAAUUUGGAAGUUUUAUUUCGGUCAUACGUAAUUUGGAGAAUCAAGUUGGAAGAUUCAGUCCGGUCAGAUAACUUUGGCAUCUUGUAGUAUAGAACAAUUCACUAAAAAGUUUAAUACUUGCAGUUCCGUAUACAGAGUCAAUAGCUCGAAAAGAUGGAAAGAAAGUAAAUUGAUUCUGCUAGGCAAUAAAUAAAAUGAAAUUUGUGCAUUUAUCAGCAUAUCAAAAUCCUGAUUCAUUGCUGAAUUUGCUCCAGUUUAACAGAGAAUAAUAAGAAGUUUCCCAGUGUAUAUGACUUAUGAUUCCCAAAGAAGGUGGCAUCGAGGGUCGGCAAAUUGUGCAUCGAAUACUAAGAGUCAACAAUUGGAAGUGUCCUAGUAUAUAUGCUGAUACACAGACUGUUGCGAUAGGUGGUGGCUCUCUGCUCCUUCAAAACCGACCUGUGUGACAUGGUGCAAACCUAAAAGGCGUCACCAUGGUGGUUAAUUUCCCUGGUAAAUAGAUGUUAUUUGAUUUAGCUAGUACAUUUGUGCUUGAUCUCAAAUUUUAUUAGCUAGUUGAUUUAUGCCGCAUCUCUAUAGUUCUAUUUUCUUGUACUUGUUCAUGUCAAACCUGCUCAUGUGGGAAUGAAGCAUAUUGGUAACUUCAUUUGAUUAUGUAUUGCUACUGUUUAUGGUGGUUUAAAAUUCUAUUUUGGUUUUCU